UACGUAGGGUGCGAGCGUUGUCCGGAAUUAUUGGGCGUAAAAAGCUCGUAGGCGGUCUGUCGCGUCGAUCGUGAAAACUUGGGGCUUAACCCUGAGCUUGCGGUCGAUACGGGCAUGACUGGAGUUCGGCAGGGGAGACUGGAAUUCCUGGUGUAGCGGUGAAAUGCGCAGAUAUCAGGAGGAACACCGGUGGCGAAGGCGGGUCUCUGGGCCGAUACUGACGCUGAGGAGCGAAAGCGUGGGGAGCGAACAGG
RNAcentral lists this ribosomal RNA (254 nucleotides) under uncultured bacterium. RNAcentral's name for it is "partial 16S ribosomal RNA". It matches the Rfam family "Bacterial small subunit ribosomal RNA", at positions 524 to 776 of the family's 1533-position model. The record is from RNAcentral.